CUCAGAGAUGGCCUUGGCCUCACCCAGCUGUGCUGUCCCCACCCAGCCGGCUGCUUUGACAUUUAAAGGACUAGUCCGAUCCUGCUGGGUCGCAUUCUUGAGCAACUCCGGCGCUGUGGCCCUGCACUUUCUGGAGGACUGAGUGUUUUACUCAGCCUUCACCUAUGAGGAGCCCGUGAGACCCAGGCAUGGAGCCCUUUGUGCCUCAGCCAGCCAAGCCCAGAUCCAGCCACGUGGACGUGUGCUGACAGCACCGUCGAUGCACAGUCUCCACCAAGCUGGGACAAAGGCAGAGCUAUCAGUAGCCACGUCGGGUAGAACAGAAGGCAUUCUGGGAACGCGGUGCUCUCACAUCCUGCAAAGUACAGGCCUGCAGAGCAGAUGGCAGGGACUUCAAAAGCUAAGUCACCUUGAAAGAUAAUGGCACAAAGGGCGAUUGGGGGUGGGGUGGGUGGGAGGCUUUUGUACCCUUUUGCAACAAGGAAGCAGAAAAGACAAAAGCUAUUUGCCAGCCUGGUGCGGGAAUCAACAGAAUAGAGAGAUGGUUCUGCUGCAAUUUCCAUCAAGGGUGGCCAAGCCUCCAGUCUUCUUGUCCAGAAGUAAGUGGCAUCAACCAACUCUGCCAAACUGCAUUUCCUGCCUCCUGAUCUGGGGUCUUUUCCUUUUCUUUUUUCACACAGGGAGUAUUUCCAUCCUCUCUGUCCAGGCAGCUGAGCCUUGACAACCUCUCCUCCCCUUCACCAUGCCCCGACUGAUCUCCUAAUGGAGCCCCACCCCUCGAGUCCCUGGGCCUGUGGAAGGAUUUCAUUUUAAAGAGGUUUCAAAGGAGUGGCUGGAAGGCUUGGUGGAAUCGCUUAUUACGGCUCCUCUCCCGGCCCGCAGCUUGGUGGCUGAGCACGUCAUCAUCAUUGGCAGGCAGGUGACUGUUCUAAAUUAGCACCUGGCUCAUUCUGGAGGGCUCUAACUCUUCCUGAGCUUUUUCCAAGAACAACUUUCAUGACUUAUACCUUCUUAUACCUUUCCCACGUUAUCUGUUUGAAAUGAUCCACGGGGCAGGUGAAUUACGUGUCAUCUCCAAGACUCUUGUUUCUGUCGGGCAUGUCUUAAAGACACACACACAUGCAAAGGCUAUGAAAAUGCGACCCCCCAGACCUGGGAAGCUGCAGCCCGUGGAGCCUCAGGGGCAAAGGGAGCAAACUGGCUUGUGAGGGAAGAGCUGCUCUGGUCAGCGGCUGUUGUGGGAUGGGGAGGGAACAGGGUGACCCAAGGGGGCAGGGGCCUGGUGCCAUGUCUGCUCAUGUGCCGCCCUCCUUGUCUCUGGGAUCUGCCCCCAAAAUGCAAGAAACGCGUAAGCCCACUGUAGCAGAUAUGGAGAGACUCCGGGGGAUUUUCCUUUACCUAACUACUCUGCACCUCUGCAAGGGAGAGCAUUAUGGUUUGGAAGAAAUGGAAACGGCAUGGAAGUCCCAUGUGGGCAGAGCCUGCACACCAAACCCUUCUAGACUGCAAAGGGUUUGACUCAGCCCAAAGAGGACUCUGCCAGGAAGCUGUCAGGCACCUGAGGCCACCUGCCUCUCCUCCGCUUCAGGAAUAACCAUCAGUACUGCAUCUUGGCUCUGAGGGGCACUGGGCAUCACGAUGCCCACUCGAAGCAGCUAGGGCACGUUGAUCUCUGCAUCUCCAUACAGAUGUCCGAGGAAAUGAUCCCAUAGCCUCAUCUCUGUUUCAGAGGCAGAGGCAGAGUCCACCAUAAUCUAGCCCAUUGCUCUCAACCAGACAGAGCGCACCUCCUGGCCACUAGGUGAGCAUUUGUC
Molecule: long non-coding RNA, 1814 nt
Filed under: Homo sapiens (human)
Lineage: Eukaryota; Metazoa; Chordata; Mammalia; Primates; Hominidae
Description: HSALNT0280685
Source: RNAcentral